Molecule: long non-coding RNA, 420 nt
Organism: Amphiprion ocellaris (clown anemonefish)
Lineage: Eukaryota; Metazoa; Chordata; Actinopteri; Pomacentridae
Source: Ensembl
UGGAGAGUCCUGCUCUUCCAGUGAUGGAGGGAGAAGCUGUGACUCUGAGAUGCAGAAACAAGGUGAACUCCAGCUUGGCGGCUGAUUUCUACAAAGACGGACUCCAUGUCAGCAGCAGCUCCUCAGGAAAGAUGGACAUCCACAGAGUUUCCAAGUCUGAUGAAGGACUCUACAAAUGCAGCAUCUCAGGAGGUGUAGAAUCAGCAGAGAGUCGGCUGACUGUCAGAGCUCACACACAACAAGAAGAUCACAACGAUCCAACUCCUCCCUCCUCCAGUGCCACACCAUGGAUCAUCAUCACUGUUUUAUUGAUAAUUCUGUUGGUGGUCGGGGGGCUGCAUCACUUUGCCAAAGAUUACUGGGACAGAGUUUUGCUCUAUAUGUCAACAAUAGCAGCUCGUUUACGCCCUGCAGACGAAC